This 68-nucleotide transfer RNA is filed under the name Marmota monax (woodchuck). Its description in RNAcentral is "tRNA.Gly". The record is from RNAcentral. Lineage: Eukaryota; Metazoa; Chordata; Mammalia; Rodentia; Sciuridae.
GGAUUGUGGCUCAGUGGCAGAACACUUCCCUCCCACGUAUGAGACACUGGGUUCGAUACUCAGCACCA